UUAAAAGCCUUAGCCUGUAUUUUGUAACAUCCUGGAUAGUUAUAGGGAAGGUUGGUGAGAAUCCGACACUGCCCCGCAACUGUGAUGGGAACGAAAUCUGCGUGUUACCACUGUCUGGAAACGGUUUGAACUGUUUAAACGGUUUAAACAGCUUUCCGGAUGGGAAGGUGCAGAGAGUAGGUAUUUGCCCUGAGUCAGGAAACCUAUAACAGCCAGAUUUAUCCU
Molecule: non-coding RNA, 225 nt
Organism: Candidatus Schekmanbacteria bacterium RBG_16_38_11
Lineage: Bacteria; Candidatus Schekmaniibacteriota
Source: Rfam